UGGGGAAAAUUGCACAAUGGACGAAAGUCUGAUGCAGCAACGCCGCGUGGAGGAUGACACAUUUCGGUGCGUAAACUCCUUUUAUAUGAGAAGAUAAUGACGGUAUUAUAUGAAUAAGCACCGGCUAACUCCGUGCCAGCAGCCGCGGUAAUACGGGGGGUGCAAGCGUUACUCGGAAUCACUGGGCGUAAAGAGCAUGUAGGCGGAUUAAUAAGUUUGAAGUGAAAUCCUAUAGCUUAACUAUAGAACUGCUUUGAAAACUGUUAAUCUAGAAUGUGGGAGAGGUAGAUGGAAUUUCUGGUGUAGGGGUAAAAUCCGUAGAGAUCAGAAGGAAUACCGAUUGCGAAGGCGAUCUACUGGAACAUUAUUGACGCUGAGAUGCGAAAGCGUGGGGAGCAAACAG
This 403-nucleotide ribosomal RNA is filed under the name uncultured bacterium. RNAcentral's name for it is "bacterial SSU rRNA". It matches the Rfam family "Bacterial small subunit ribosomal RNA", at positions 355 to 775 of the family's 1533-position model. The record is from RNAcentral.